Molecule: ribosomal RNA, 253 nt
Filed under: uncultured prokaryote
Description: partial 16S ribosomal RNA
Rfam family: Bacterial small subunit ribosomal RNA
Source: RNAcentral
UACGUAGGAGGCGAGCGUUGUCCGGAGUUACUGGGCGUAAAGCGUGGGUAGGCGGCUCGAUGCGUCUGUGGUGAAAUCUCCCAGCUUACCUGGGAGGGGGUCACGGAUACGGUCGGGCUUGAGGGCAUGAGAGGCAAGUAGAACUCCCGGUGGACCAGUGAAAUGGGUAGAGAUCGGGAAGAAUACCAGUGGUGCAGACGGCUUGCUGGCGUGUACCUGACGCUGAGCCACGAAAGCAUGGGGAGCAAACAGG